This 210-nucleotide long non-coding RNA is filed under the name Solanum tuberosum (potato). RNAcentral describes it as "long non-coding RNA (STUB_LNC005249)". Lineage: Eukaryota; Viridiplantae; Streptophyta; Magnoliopsida; Solanales; Solanaceae. The record is from RNAcentral.
AGAAAAAAAAAUCUACUAUCUGCUAAUAUAAUUUUAGGUGGAACCCUAAGGAGUCGUUUGAUGUGAGGUAUACGGUAAAAAUGUAGCACUAUUUUAUUAUGCGUUUGGCUAAAGGUAUUAGACAAUCAUGAGAUUAUUACAUUCUCACAAUCAUGAGAAUGUAAGAUAAAUAACAUACAAAUAAUUCAUUUGAUCUAUUUAUAAAGGCAC